This 400-nucleotide ribosomal RNA is filed under the name uncultured bacterium. RNAcentral describes it as "bacterial SSU rRNA". It matches the Rfam family "Bacterial small subunit ribosomal RNA", at positions 975 to 1375 of the family's 1533-position model. The record is from RNAcentral.
CUGGCUCGAACGGCUCACGAAAGAGGGUGGAAACAUCCUUUUCCCGCAAGGGACGGGAGUCGAGGUGCUGCAUGGCUGUCGUCAGCUCGUGUCGUGAGAUGUUGGGUUAAGUCCCGCAACGAGCGCAACCCUUGUCCUGUGUUGCCAUGCCGAAAGGCGGAACUCGCAGGAGACCGCCAGCGAUAAGCUGGAGGAAGGUGGGGAUGACGUCAAGUCCUCAUGGCCUUUAUGUCCAGGGCUACACACGUGCUACAAUGGACGGUACAAAGCGCUGCCAACCCGCAAGGGGGAGCCAAUCGCAAAAAACCGUUCUCAGUUCGGAUUGCAGGCUGCAACUCGCCUGCAUGAAGCUGGAAUCGCUAGUAAUGCCGUAUCAGAACGAUGGCGUGAAUACGUUCCC